Long non-coding RNA from Zingiber officinale, 464 nucleotides. RefSeq lists it as uncharacterized. The transcript has 2 exons. NCBI's taxonomy places the organism in Eukaryota, Viridiplantae, Streptophyta, Magnoliopsida, Zingiberales, Zingiberaceae. The record is from RefSeq and is a predicted model, not a curated record.
UCAGAUUGGAACAUUUGCAGAAGUAAACAGGGCAGGGAACUAUAUGAACUAAUAUGCCGGAUAGCUACACGCAAUGUGCUCAACGUCAUCAAUCUUGCGUCAUGGUCAUGUCACCAAUCGAUGGAUCAAGUCAAUGGAGUGAGGUUUACGGAUGAGCUUAAAAGAAUCUUUUCCAGGACAAUUUGAACUCAAAAUAGAUUGGAAGAGAGGCAUUGAAAGUUCAAUCAAGUCACAAUUGCAUUCGUUGAGGAUGUCCGCAUCCAGCCACAUCUGUUGACAGGCAACGACAUGGCAAUAUUUUGAAGUCAAAGAACGUGAUUCUCGAGUUGUGCAUGAUGCAAGCAAAACUUACGUCGACGGUAUAGGUCACCGUGACGUAUUAUGUAGACGUAGGCCCCCAAAUUACUUGGGGCAAAAAUUUUAAGGGCACCUUAAAUUAUGAAAAUUAUCAUAAAGAUAUUUUU